UACGUAGGGCGCAAGCGUUGUCCGGAUUUAUUGGGCGUAAAGAGCUCGUAGGCGGUUUGUCGCGUCUUCCGUGAAAACUGGGGGCUUAACUUCCAGCUUGCGGUGGAUACGGGCUGACUGGAGUGCGGCAGGGGAGACUGGAAUUCCUGGUGUAGCGGUGAAAUGCGCAGAUAUCAGGAGGAACACCGGUGGCGAAGGCGGUUCUCUGGGCAUGUUCUGACGCUGAGGAGCGAAAGUGUGGGGAGCGAACAGG
This 253-nucleotide ribosomal RNA is filed under the name uncultured bacterium. Its description in RNAcentral is "partial 16S ribosomal RNA". It matches the Rfam family "Bacterial small subunit ribosomal RNA", at positions 524 to 776 of the family's 1533-position model. The record is from RNAcentral.